GUUAGCGAGUACUUAUAUAAACGCGUACCGGCUCUAUAAACCGAGUCGCGCCCGAUACUAUGGCGAUAAGGCUUCUAGCAAAUUGGCUUUGCUCGGUAAUUAAAAAAAAAAAAAAAAAGAAAAAAAACCUACCGAUGAUGUAACACUCGGCAUUAUAUCCGAUCGUAAUUAAUCCGAUUACAUAUUGUUAUUUCACGUUUAAUCCGUAGACACGACACAUACGACGUAUAUAUUAGUGUAUGUAUAGUGUUUUAUAUGUGUUUUACUACAGGCGCGCGUAUAUAUCGCGGGAAACCGUACUAAAAACCGUAUCAGAGC
Non-coding RNA from Cinara cedri, 318 nucleotides. NCBI's taxonomy places the organism in Eukaryota, Metazoa, Arthropoda, Insecta, Hemiptera, Aphididae. The record is from the annotation of a GenBank genome assembly.